This 520-nucleotide ribosomal RNA is filed under the name uncultured Eubacteriales bacterium. RNAcentral's name for it is "bacterial SSU rRNA". It matches the Rfam family "Bacterial small subunit ribosomal RNA", at positions 396 to 1383 of the family's 1533-position model. Lineage: Bacteria; Bacillati; Bacillota; Clostridia; Eubacteriales. The record is from RNAcentral.
GCCGCGUGAGCGAAGAAGGCCUUCGGGUCGUAAAGCUCUGUCCUAAGGGAAGAAAGAUGACGGUACCUUAGGAGGAAGCCCCGGCUAACUACGUGCCAGCAGCCGCGGUAAAACGUAGGGGGCGAGCGUUAUCCGGAAUGACUGGGCGUAAAGGGUGUGUAGGCGGCCGGUAAAGUCUGGGGUGAAAGGCUACGGCUUAACCGUAGUAAGCCUUGGAAACUUAUCGGCUUGAGUGCAGGAGAGGAGAGCGGAAUUCCUAGUGUAGCGGUGAAAUGCGUAGAUAUUAGGAGGAACACCAGUGGCGAAGGCGGCUCUCUGGACUGCAACUGACGCUGAGGCACGAAAGCGUGGGGAGCGAACAGGAUUAGAUACCCUGGUAGUCCACGCCGUAAACGAUGAGUGCUAGGUGUUGGAGGUUUAUACCUCCGUGGCGCAAGUUAAGCAUUUAGUCCUUCCGCUGGGGAGGACCGGCGCCAGACUUAAACUUAAAAGAAUUUACCGGGUCAUUACUUGUUCCUGG